RNAcentral lists this ribosomal RNA (431 nucleotides) under uncultured bacterium. RNAcentral's name for it is "partial 16S ribosomal RNA". It matches the Rfam family "Bacterial small subunit ribosomal RNA", at positions 29 to 507 of the family's 1533-position model. The record is from RNAcentral.
AACGAACGCUGGCGGCAGGCUUAACACAUGCAAGUCGAACGCCCCGCAAGGGGAGUGGCAUACGUGUGAGUAACACGGGGGAACAUGCCCAAAGGUACGGAACAUGCUCGGGAGACUGAGAUCAAUACCGUAUGGCCCCGAAAGGGGAAAGAUUGUUCGCGAUUGGAUUGGCGCGCGUGGGAUUAGCUAGUUGGUUGGGUAAAAGCCUAUGAAGGCGACUAUAGGUAGAUGGUCUGAGAGGAAGAGCAGCCACACUGGGGCUAAGAAACGGCCCAGACUCCUACGGGAGGCAGGAGUGGGGGAUCUAGGAAAGUCGGGGGAAGCAUGAACGUGCCAUGCCGCGUGGAUGAUGAAGGCAGGAGGGUUGUAAAGUGCUUUCGUUGGGGACGAUAAUGACGGUACCCAAAGAAGAAGCUCCGGCUAACUUCGUG